UGUAAAGGAAUGGGAAGAAUGGGAAGAACUUACCCUAUUUAGCAGAAAAUGGGAUUGUGACACAAAUGCAGUAGGUGGUGGACCCAAAGCACUUCUGAAGCACAAUCUGGAUAUCAUUCUUGUUGAACCACGAGGACCUCCUGCAGACAUAUACAACUAAAGAGGAUAGUAUGCUAUCAACAGACAAAUGAUGAAGAAAAAUAGCCUCUUGAAAAUGAAAACCAAUGCAAAGUUCUAAAGUCUCUGGCAGCAGACACUGAAAAUCCUCUCCUGAGAAGACAUUACCUGCAUGGUUCUCAAGUGGAGGUGAAACUUUACAAAACGAUAAGAAAAGUAGAAGACACUUUAUUGAUAAAAUAUCCACAUUCGAAAA
RNAcentral lists this long non-coding RNA (373 nucleotides) under Homo sapiens (human). RNAcentral describes it as "novel transcript". The record is from RNAcentral. Lineage: Eukaryota; Metazoa; Chordata; Mammalia; Primates; Hominidae.